UAACACAUGCAAGUCGAGGGGCAGCAUGGUCUUAGCUUGCUAAGGCUGAUGGCGACCGGCGCACGGGUGAGUAACACGUAUCCAACCUGCCGUCUACUCUUGGCCAGCCUUCUGAAAGGAAGAUUAAUCCAGGAUGGCAUCAUGAGUUCACAUGUCCGCAUGAUUAAAGAAUUUCGGUCAUCGAUGGGGAUGCGUUCCAUUAGGUUGUUGGCGGGGUAACGGCCCACCAAGCCUUCGAUGGAUAGGGGUUCUGAGAGGAAGGUCCCCCACAUUGGAACUGAGACACGGUCCAAACUCCUACGGGAGGCAGCAGUGAGGAAUAUUGGUCAAUGGACGAGAGUCUGAACCAGCCAAGUAGCGUGAAGGAUGACUGCCCUAUGGGUUGUAAACUUCUUUUAUACGGGAAUGAAGUGAGGCACGUGUGCCUUUUUGUAUGUACCGUAUGAAUAAGGAUCGGCUAACUCCGUGCCAGCAGCCGCGGUAAUACGGAGGAUCCGAGCGUUAUCCGGAUUUAUUGGGUUUAAAGGGAGCGUAGGCGGACGCUUAAGUCAGUUGUGAAAGUUUGCGGCUCAACCGUAAAAUUGCAGUUGAUACUGGGUGUCUUGAGUACAGUAGAGGCAGGCGGAAUUCGUGGUGUAGCGGUGAAAUGCUUAGAUAUCACGAAGACUCCGAUUGCGAAGGCAGCUUGCUGGACUGUAACUGACGCUGAUGCUCGAAA
This 718-nucleotide ribosomal RNA is filed under the name uncultured Bacteroidales bacterium. RNAcentral's name for it is "bacterial SSU rRNA". It matches the Rfam family "Bacterial small subunit ribosomal RNA", at positions 49 to 758 of the family's 1533-position model. The record is from RNAcentral. Lineage: Bacteria; Pseudomonadati; Bacteroidota; Bacteroidia; Bacteroidales.